AAAGAUUAAGCCAUGCAUGUCUAAGUUUAAUUGGAUUAACUAUAGAAACUGCGAAUGGCUCAUUAUAUCGGCUAUAACUUACUUGAUAAUCCCUUACUACGUGGAUACCUGUAGUAAUUCUAGAGCUAAUACAUGCUUAAACUCUCAACCACUUGCUGGACGAGAGGCAUUUAUUAGAUUGAAAACCAACCCUCCUUGGAGGUGAAUUUGGUGACUCAUAAUAACUUUGCGGAUCGCAUGGUUUCAUGCCAGCGACACAUCAUUCAGGUUUCCGCCCUAUCAGCUUCUGAUGGUAGGAUAUUGGCCUACCAUGGCUUUAACGGGUGACGGACGGUUAGGGCUGGACCCCGGAGAGGGAGCCUGAGAAACGGCUACCACAUCCAAGGAAGGCAGCAGGCGCGUAAAUUACCCAAUUCCGACAUGGAGAGGUAGUGACAAUAAAUAACAAUGCCGAGCCUUCAAGGUUUGGCAAUUGGAAUGAGAACAAUGUAAACCACUUAUCGAGGAUCAAUUGGAGG
Molecule: ribosomal RNA, 518 nt
Filed under: Stellarima microtrias
Lineage: Eukaryota; Bacillariophyta; Coscinodiscophyceae; Coscinodiscales; Coscinodiscaceae
Description: SSU rRNA
Rfam family: Eukaryotic small subunit ribosomal RNA
Source: RNAcentral